Molecule: ribosomal RNA, 715 nt
Filed under: Pseudoalteromonas sp.
Lineage: Bacteria; Pseudomonadati; Pseudomonadota; Gammaproteobacteria; Alteromonadales; Pseudoalteromonadaceae
Description: bacterial SSU rRNA
Rfam family: Bacterial small subunit ribosomal RNA
Source: RNAcentral
UGCAAGUCGAGCGGUAACAUUUCUAGCUUGCUAGAAGAUGACGAGCGGCGGACGGGUGAGUAAUGCUUGGGAACAUGCCUUUAGGUGGGGGACAACCAUUGGAAACGAUGGCUAAUACCGCAUAAUGUCUACGGACCAAAGGGGGCUUCGGCUCUCGCCUUUAGAUUGGCCCAAGUGGGAUUAGCUAGUUGGUGAGGUAAUGGCUCACCAAGGCGACGAUCCCUAGCUGGUUUGAGAGGAUGAUCAGCCACACUGGAACUGAGACACGGUCCAGACUCCUACGGGAGGCAGCAGUGGGGAAUAUUGCACAAUGGGCGCAAGCCUGAUGCAGCCAUGCCGCGUGUGUGAAGAAGGCCUUCGGGUUGUAAAGCACUUUCAGUUGUGAGGAAAGGUUAGUAGUUAAUACCUGCUAGCUGUGACGUUAGCAACAGAAGAAGCACCGGCUAACUCCGUGCCAGCAGCCGCGGUAAUACGGAGGGUGCGAGCGUUAAUCGGAAUUACUGGGCGUAAAGCGUACGCAGGCGGUUUGUUAAGCGAGAUGUGAAAGCCCCGGGCUCAACCUGGGAACUGCAUUUCGAACUGGCAAACUAGAGUGUGAUAGAGGGUGGUAGAAUUUCAGGUGUAGCGGUGAAAUGCGUAGAGAUCUGAAGGAAUACCGAUGGCGAAGGCAGCCACCUGGGUCAACACUGACGCUCAUGUACGAAAGCGUGGGGAG